GCGGAGCGGCCCCGCCGCAGCCCCGCUGCCUGCCCGGCCCUUGGGAUUCACUAUGGCCAUUGCUGGGGUGUGCAUUAGCGGCUGUGAGAACAAAACCAUCGCGUCUCUCACUCGGGGGUAAAAUGAGUUCUGUGACGGCCUUACUGCCAGUGGAAAAACAUUUCAGGUCACUACAACAGACACCUCUGUGCAGGGAGGGUUGAGAAUGGAAGCGCGGUAAUUACCCUACACUACAAGAAAUUAAAAAGCAAGCAGAGAGGUUAUUGCUUUAUCCAACGUGUAUUAAUUACAAGGACUUUGAGCAAUCAGGACUUUGAGCUCCCAAGCUGGAAGAAUUUUUUGGCAAGGAUUUUAGGGUACCAGGAUACUUGCAGAACUUACUGACAAGAGUGGACAUCAGCUAUGGCCAGGGAAGCUCAGACACCUCAACCCUGCACUACUCCUGACUCUGUGUUACUCCUGGCUCUGCACACCAACUACUUCUAACAGGAAAAUACAGGAGGAAGACACCAUUCUGUAAGAAUUUAAACUCCACAGUCCCUUGGAGGAAUUAACAGCUGACUAUCUAAUCAGUCUUUCAGUUUCCACUGCUGGCACCAGACUUGCCAGUCUGCAGUUAAAUGCCAGGGAAUUGCACAACAGCCCAGGAACACCUGAGUAAGAAAAGCUGUGAGGAAUUAGUUUGUUUUGCUUGUUUUAAGUGUUCCUGAGGAGACAUUAAAAGUAAAGUGAUCAAAUCAGCAUGACCAGCAGGAGGUGUUGUACAAAAAUCCCUUUGUUCAAAAAAAGACAAGAAAAAGGAUUAUUAACUUACAGUGAUCUCCAUCCCUAAGAACUAUUUGUGCCCAUUGAGGAAGCAGUGGCAGUGUCUACAUGGCUGGACAAAUGUGAAGUAGGAAAUAGUCUGUGGGAAAUAAAACCAGCCU
Molecule: long non-coding RNA, 926 nt
Organism: Parus major (Great Tit)
Lineage: Eukaryota; Metazoa; Chordata; Aves; Passeriformes; Paridae
Exons: 3
Source: RefSeq, a predicted model, not a curated record